Poeciliopsis prolifica (blackstripe livebearer) is the source of this 845-nucleotide long non-coding RNA. RefSeq lists it as uncharacterized. Lineage: Eukaryota; Metazoa; Chordata; Actinopteri; Cyprinodontiformes; Poeciliidae. The record is from RefSeq and is a predicted model, not a curated record. The transcript is spliced from 4 exons.
AUUAAAGCCAGAUGGCCCGCUCUAUUUGAGCCGUCUCACAUCCAGGAUGAGUUUCACAGAAUCACAAUGGUGCAUCUUGAAUCAAAGAUCAUGUCCAAACUGGAUGAAUAUACUCCUCGACUUCUGAACCUCUUCCACUCCAAGGGCGGAACCAUGGAGUUGAGGUUGCAGGCUAUCCUACUCGAGACUCCAAGCAAUCCUGACAUCAACAUGACCAGAGAUGUUACCAUUUGAUGUUUGAUGAUGUACCUUGGGGAAUCUACAGAUCAACUCUUACAAGAGUAUGAUGAUGCUGAUGAAGACAGUGUGUCACAGGACCUUGCUGUUCAAAGCCUGAAGAUCUACAACAUCAAAGCUAACACGUCAGAGGAUCCAGACAUCGGUAUCGUGGUGGACAGCGUGAAAAUUCUAACUGCUCUGGGUAACUUUAAAAGGGCUUGCUCCCUGCUUGUUGGAUUGGUGUAUGCUAUGAGUCUUGCCUAUCCAAAGAAGCUCAGAUACACGUUUGAAGUGUUUCAGAAACUUCUCCUCGGACUGGAUAGUUCAAAGCUCUCCACAAAAGUGAACAGCCUCAGGAAUAAACUAAUGGCUUAAGAAAACGGACCCUUACUAAACAAAAGGGAAUAGACAAGCCACUGUCAAAACCAACACGCAAAACUUUGUGACAUGCUCUGUGAAGUUAGUUAAAAUUUGGGUAAUUUUCAGUUCAGUGGAUUUCUGCAUGUGUAUUUUUUCUUGCAGUACAUUACAGUUAACUAGCCUUUCUAAGGACUGACCCCUUGUUCUCAUAUGUGGUAGUGCGGCCUGUUAUAUGGCUUUGGAUCUGUUCAGGUCUGUCACAUGAA